UUCCAGACUCCUACGGGAGGCAGCAGUGGGGAAUAUUGGACAAUGGGGGGAACCCUGAUCCAGCGACGCCGCGUGAGUGAAGAAGUAUUUCGGUAUGUAAAGCUCUAUCAGCAGGGAAGAAAGAAAUGACGGUACCUGACUAAGAAGCCCCGGCUAACUACGUGCCAGCAGCCGCGGUAAUACGUAGGGGGCGAGCGUUAUCCGGAAUUACUGGGUGUAAAGGGAGCGUAGACGGCGAGGUAAGCCUGAAGUGGAAGCCCGCGGCCCAACCGCGGAACUGCUUUGGGAACUGUUUUGCUGGAGUAUGGGAGGGGUAAGCGGAAUUCCUGGUGUAGCGGUGAAAUGCGUAGAUAUUAGGAGGAACACCAGUGGCGAAGGCGGCUUACUGGACAGUAACUGACGUUGAGGCUCGAAAGCGUGGGGAGCAAACAGGAUUAGAUACCCUGGUAGU
This 451-nucleotide ribosomal RNA is filed under the name uncultured bacterium. Its description in RNAcentral is "bacterial SSU rRNA". It matches the Rfam family "Bacterial small subunit ribosomal RNA", at positions 329 to 794 of the family's 1533-position model. The record is from RNAcentral.